GCUGAAGCUAUCGCUAGACCGUUAAUUCCGCUGCUGUUUUCUUUUCUUUUGAUCAAAUCAACUGGCACGCUAAUACAUCCGAAGGCGAGCUUUGGACCUACACUGGAGUUAAGCAGAUCUCCCAGGCCACGUGUAUCCUGUCAACACGACGACUAUGCGAGCUCCCAACCGCCGCCGCCUCCUUCCCCUCUCCUCUCCCCUCCCACCCCUGCUGCCGCCUGCUCUCUCCCCUUGACUCGCGACGACAGCGAUGACGUGAGCUCGCCGGAAGGCUGCCUUCUCCCCUUCACAGUAGCCGCGAGCGGCUCCUCCUCCCUGUCGCCGUCUCGUACAUAGGGGCGGGGGACCAAGAAGAAGGGAUAAGGAAGAAAUGCAUCUGGAGCAGGGUAUUUUGGUCAUUUCACAAGCGAAGUCUGGUAAAAAAAAGCUCAAAACAACCCAAAGCAGCAUUUUAUUAAGGUGUAUUAUGUAUAGAGUGGUAUUUUUAUAAGGUGGCAUUCUGUUGAAGCCAGCUGCUCAAGAGUGGCAUAUUGUAAAAUUUCUACAAAAUCACCUGAUCUUGCAUCCCCUCUUCACGGACUUUGCAGUCGCAUUCGCUCCGACGCCUCCCUCGCGGCUCCGCCGCACUGUCCGCACGAACCCGCCCCACACCAUCCCGCCGGCCCGGCGACCGCGUCUUGCUCGCCAUGGCCGCUGCGGGGUGCUUUGAGGACGGGAUUAAGCUCACUCUCUGCUCCUGCUCCUACACCAGCAUUCUACUAUCUAAGCGGGUAAGGAAGAGUCCUCGAGGCAGAUAGAUUGGCCGAUGCAGGUCAGGCGCCUGCUGGAUGUAGCACGCUCAUAGCGGGGCAAAUCGAUGAAUUAAUUAAGCAUGGCGGAGAGGACGAUCUCUACGCAAGGAUGCCAGGGUGAGGGAGGCUAAUGGAUGAGGCAUUUCGACAAGUAGAUGUUAUGCGUUAUGUUAUGCCCACAAUAUAGCUAUCCCUGACUAACCGAAACAGUGAAUUUUCAGAACUGGGCUGCAUUUCGAUGUGUUGUGUGCUAUAAUGCUCUGAAGGGCAGGUUCUGUGACAUUUCUUAUUGUGUCUUGGUCCUCAAGAUGCUGCUUGAUCCUGUUCUUGGAGAGAACUCAGCUGGAUGUGUUUAGUUUUAUACAGUCACAAUGAGGGUAGACUCUCUGCAGUGCUGGGAAACUUCAGGUGUCACUGUGCCUAAUAGAUGUUGAGGGGAUUGGAUAUGAUGAUCUGGAAUUCAGUACUUCUAUUCUGGUUCUUCAUGGCUAGGGAUUAAUGUGCAGUUCUGCUAACUCUUGUUGAUAUGGUCAAUGCCAUGCUUAUUGAUGGUUUAUAAAAAGUGAAAGUUUAUUGUGGCAGAUGAAAGAGCAAAAGAUCUUUGAGAGGUACACAUCUUGUCUUCGUCUACUCUGAGACACGGAGGAUAUAGCUAGGGAGCUCAUGUGGUGUCACUAUCUGGAAACACAUGAGGGUUGGUUUCCUCUCUGACAGCACCAAGCAAUCAUGUUUAAUUUGGGGGAUGAAGUUGGUGAAUUACCUUCGCAGCCAUCUAGGAUGUAUGGAUUUCCACGAUAACCAGGCAAGCAACUGCAUCUGUAGCCAACAUAACCAUCCAUGGAGCUAAGGACAUUCAAG
This is a non-coding RNA of Oryza sativa Japonica Group (Japanese rice), 1649 nucleotides long. The record is from RefSeq and is a predicted model, not a curated record. Lineage: Eukaryota; Viridiplantae; Streptophyta; Magnoliopsida; Poales; Poaceae.